UACGGGGGGGGCAAGCGUUGUUCGGAAUUACUGGGCGUAAAGGGCUCGUAGGCGGCCAACUAAGUCAGACGUGAAAUCCCUCGGCUUAACCGGGGAACUGCGUCUGAUACUGGAUGGCUUGAGGUUGGGAGAGGGAUGCGGAAUUCCAGGUGUAGCGGUGAAAUGCGUAGAUAUCUGGAGGAACACCGGUGGCGAAGGCGGCAUCCUGGACCAAUUCUGACGCUGAGGAGCGAAAGCCAGGGGAGCAAACGGGG
Molecule: ribosomal RNA, 254 nt
Filed under: uncultured bacterium
Lineage: Bacteria
Description: partial 16S ribosomal RNA
Rfam family: Bacterial small subunit ribosomal RNA
Source: RNAcentral